AACGAACGCUGGCGGCAUGCCUAACACAUGCAAGUCGAACGAGACCUUCGGGUCUAGUGGCGCACGGGUGCGUAACGCGUGGGAACCUGCCCUUAGGUUCGGAAUAACUCCCCGAAAGGGGUGCUAAUACCGGAUAAUGUCUUCGGACCAAAGAUUUAUCGCCUUUGGAUGGGCCGCGUUGGAUUAGCUAGUUGGUAGGGUAAAAGCCUACCAAGGCGACGAUCCAUAGCUGGUCUGAGAGGAUGAUCAGCCACACUGGGACUGAGACACGGCCCAGACUCCUACGGGAGGCAGCAGUGGGGAAUAUUGGACAAUGGGCGAAAGCCUGAUCCAGCAAUGCCGCGUGAGUGAUGAAGGCCUUAGGGUUGUAAAGCUCUUUUACCCGGGAUGAUAAUGACAGUACCGGGAGAAUAAGCUCCGGCUAACUCCGU
RNAcentral lists this ribosomal RNA (431 nucleotides) under uncultured bacterium. Its description in RNAcentral is "partial 16S ribosomal RNA". It matches the Rfam family "Bacterial small subunit ribosomal RNA", at positions 29 to 506 of the family's 1533-position model. The record is from RNAcentral.